UACAGAGGUCUCAAGCGUUGUUCGGAUUUAUUGGGCGUAAAGGGUGCGUAGGUGGCGUCGUAAGUGGGGUGUGAAAUCCCGGGGCUUAACCCCGGGACUGCAUUCCAUACUGCGGUGCUUGAGGACUGGAGAGGAGACUGGAAUUUACGGUGUAGCAGUGAAAUGCGUAGAGAUCGUAAGGAAGACCAGUGGCGAAGGCGGGUCUCUGGACAGUUCCUGACACUGAGGCACGAAGGCCAGGGGAGCAAACGGG
Molecule: ribosomal RNA, 253 nt
Filed under: uncultured bacterium
Lineage: Bacteria
Description: partial 16S ribosomal RNA
Rfam family: Bacterial small subunit ribosomal RNA
Source: RNAcentral